AAAAUUUAGUUCCUUGGUCAUAUGCAAAAGUAUAAGUUCGGGGUUACUCUUGGAAGUGAGCAAAGUUUAAGUUUGGGGUUGGUGUGCCAGAGAUUUUGGUCAAAAAUUCAAAAAUAAAAAUGAGAAAAAUCAAGAAGUCCAAGCAAUUUCUUCAAAAAAAAAAUGAGAAAAACAAUGUUUAGGACCAUAAAAUGUUAACCUCUUGUACCAAAGUAAUUAAGCAAAUUGAUAUGAAAAGGAAUAUGAUAAAAUAAGGAAAACUAGGUACCUAACUCCAAAUAUUUAAGCCUAUUAUCC
This 297-nucleotide long non-coding RNA is filed under the name Lathyrus oleraceus (garden pea). RNAcentral's name for it is "Pisum sativum (pea) long non-coding RNA (PSAT_LNC007771)". The record is from RNAcentral. Lineage: Eukaryota; Viridiplantae; Streptophyta; Magnoliopsida; Fabales; Fabaceae.